RNAcentral lists this long non-coding RNA (242 nucleotides) under Nicotiana benthamiana. RNAcentral's name for it is "long non-coding RNA (NBEN_LNC038921)". Lineage: Eukaryota; Viridiplantae; Streptophyta; Magnoliopsida; Solanales; Solanaceae. The record is from RNAcentral.
AUUCACCUCUGCAUGUAGUCAUUCUCUGUACCCUACAUGAAUACAUAAUGCUUCACGUAUCAGGUUGCCCUUUUUCUCUUUCGUGUUCGUUAUCCUGAUUGGAGUUCCAACUAACCAAAUUUGUGUUGUAUCAUGUUUGUUUUUUUAUUUUCUGAUCUUUGAACCCAAAAUUUCUUAUUAUAUAUAGCGAGACUCGAUUCAUCUCACUGCAACCUUGAUGUUCUUAAUUUUAUCUGUAUUGC